UGGGGUAUGGCUCAGCGGUAGAGCGUGUGCUUAGCAUGCACAGGGUCCUGGGUUCAAUCCCCAGUGCCUCCA
Molecule: transfer RNA, 72 nt
Filed under: Camelus ferus (Wild Bactrian camel)
Lineage: Eukaryota; Metazoa; Chordata; Mammalia; Artiodactyla; Camelidae
Rfam family: tRNA
About the family: Transfer RNA (tRNA) molecules are approximately 80 nucleotides in length. Their secondary structure includes four short double-helical elements and three loops (D, anti-codon, and T loops).
Source: Rfam by way of RNAcentral